CUUACAGUCCCACCGCACUAAAUCAACAGCUACUUCCUCUUAAGGACAUUCAGGGAUAGCGUCUGUCUCUACGGGCAGAAGUCUGUCGCGGGAGAAGUAGUGGACAAGCUGCUACAUGUUACCCGCGCAGUGAAGUGUUCAAGGCCUGUUCAGACAGAUGUGCAAGAUAGCCUUUUGUUAUUUUUCUAUAGGGACAGUAUUAGAGUGAGAGAUAGUA
This is a non-coding RNA of Pelobates cultripes (western spadefoot toad), 217 nucleotides long. The record is from the annotation of a GenBank genome assembly. Lineage: Eukaryota; Metazoa; Chordata; Amphibia; Anura; Pelobatidae.